AUUGAACGCUGGCGGCAUGCCUUACACAUGCAAGUCGAACGGCAGCACGGGUGCUUGCACCUGGUGGCGAGUGGCGAACGGGUGAGUAAUACAUCGGAACAUGUCCUGUAGUGGGGGAUAGCCCGGCGAAAGCCGGAUUAAUACCGCAUACGAUCUACGGAUGAAAGCGGGGGACCUUCGGGCCUCGCGCUAUAGGGUUGGCCGAUGGCUGAUUAGCUUGUUGGUGGGGUAAAGGCCUACCAAGGCGACGAUCAGUAGCUGGUCUGAGAGGACGACCAGCCACACUGGGACUGAGACACGGCCCAGACUCCUACGGGAGGCAGCAGUGGGGAAUUUUGGACAAUGGGCGAAAGCCUGAUCCAGCAAUGCCGCGUGUGUGAAGAAGGCCUUCGGGUUGUAAAGCACUUUUGUCCGGAAAGAAAUCCUUGGCUCUAAUACAGUCGGGGGAUGACGGUACCGGAAGAAUAAGCACCGGCUAACUACGUG
Molecule: ribosomal RNA, 486 nt
Filed under: uncultured bacterium
Lineage: Bacteria
Description: partial 16S ribosomal RNA
Rfam family: Bacterial small subunit ribosomal RNA
Source: RNAcentral